UCUACCUGCUUUCCAAUUUGUUGCCACCCAACUGAGCUCGCCUCGCCACCGCCUCCGUCCGCUUCGCUUCUCUUCUCUGCCGCGAAUCCGCGCGCAUCGGAACGCGCGCGCGCUCGAUCAAAAACGGCGGGAAGAGCACGAGGCGCAGCCAGCCAAGAAGGAGGAGGAGGAGGAGCUGCGCGCCGCGCCGGCGAGCGCGUGCGUGCGUGCGUAGGAGGAGGAGGAGGAGGAGGGGCGCAUGGGGACGAGGCGGCGGCGUCACCAGCACCACGGCAGGUGGGUGGUGCCCGCGGUGGCGCCGGCCGCGGCGGCGUUCACGGCGGCGGGACUGCUGCUCGUCGUCGUCGCUUUCCACUGCUUCCUGUCGCCGCCGCUCGGCGGCGGCGGCGGCGGGGGUGGCGGCCACCGUGUUGUGCGGCGACCGAACCCGCCGUUCCUGUUGAACAAGCCGAGCGAGCUGCGCCGAAAUGUAGUUGGCACCGUCGAUUUUGCCGUUCCUAGCGGCGGGAGCAAGCUGGGCGAAGAGCUCUGGGCGUCGAAACUGGCCAGCAACUUCUUCGGCUGCAGCAACGCGACCAAGGCGUUCGCCGAUGCCAAGGCCGUCACGGAGCCGAAUCGGUAUCUGAUGAUCGCAACGAGCGGCGGCCUGAACCAGCAGCGAACAGGGAUCAUAGAUGCUGUUGUUGCAGCCCGUAUUCUGAAUGCAACACUUGUCAUUCCCAACCUGGAUCAGAAAUCCUUCUGGAAAGAUGCAAGUGAUUUUGCGGAUAUUUUUGAUGUUGAGUCAUUCAUAUCCUCACUCUCAAACGAUGUAAAGAUCAUACGGCAAGUACCUGACAGGAAUGGGAAAACACCAUAUCCUUACAAAAUGCGUAUUCCUAGGAAGUGUACUGCAAAAUGCUAUGAGAACCGAGUAUUACCUGCCCUUUUGAAAAAACAUGUUGUCCAGCUUACCAAAUUUGACUACCGGGUUUCCAAUAGGUUGGAGACUAACCUUCAAAAGCUUAGGUGCAGAGUCAAUUAUCAUGCACUACAGUUCACAGAUCCAAUUCUUAAGAUGGGCGAAAUGCUUGUCCAAAGAAUGAGAGCCAAAAGUGGACGCUUCAUUGCCCUUCACCUAAGAUUUGAGCCUGACAUGCUCGCCUUCUCUGGUUGCUACUUUGGAGGUGGGGAAAUUGAGAGAAGAGAACUCGGUGCAAUCCGUAAGAGAUGGAAGACACUGCAUGCAAGCAACCCUGACAGAGAACGUAGGCACGGUAAGUGCCCUCUCACACCAGAAGAGGUUGGCCUCAUGCUCCGAGCAUUGGGAUUUGGGAAGGAUGUGCACAUAUAUGUUGCAUCAGGUGAGGUGUAUGGUGGAGAGGAGACGCUGGCACCUCUGAAAGCGCUCUUCCCAAACUUCCACUCAAAGGAAACUCUAGCUAGCAAGGAGGAGUUGGCGCCUUUCCUCUCAUUUUCAUCUCGCAUGGCAGCGCUUGAUUAUAUUGUGUGUGAUAAGAGUGAUGUAUUUGUGACAAAUAACAACGGCAACAUGGCCAGAAUGUUGGCUGGUCGAAGGAGGUAUUUUGGGCACAAGAGGACCAUAAGGCCCAAUGCCAAGAAGCUUUACUCACUCUUUCUCAAUCGAACCAGCAUGAGUUGGGAAACAUUUUCGUCCAAAGUUCAGACACUUCAGAAGGGAUUUAUGGGGGAGCCCAAUGAGAUAAAACCUGGAAGAGGUGAAUUCCAUGAGCACCCUAUGGACUGUAUUUGCGCAAAGACAAAGGGAAGAAGUGGGCAUAGUAAGCCUCAUCCAAGUAAUCGGAUUGGGGAAGCAAUGGAGAAACGUGCUAAUGAUGGUGAGUUUGACUGGAGAGAUCUGGACUACGGCGAGAAUACACCCUUGGGAAGGGAUUCUUCAAAUGAGACUGAUUCAGACAUGCAUGAAUUGGAGGACAUGGUCUCAGACUAGACAUGUAAAAUGGAUAGUAUCAGAAUUAGGUUUUUCAGCUAAACUGGAUUGCUGGUGAAGUUUUUAGCAGAGAGAAGCUGCAGCGUAAUUUAUAUUCUCCGUUUUUUUAUGGAGACUUGUAGAAAUCAGUGUGGGCUUCUUACAGAGAACACAGAAACAGACCUUCGGUAUGCGCAAAGAAAAUUGUACAGUGCUGUGUUAGUUUCCUGCGAAUGCUGAGAGGCAAAGAAGACUUUUUAGUUCCUUUUUUACUCUUUCAAAUAUUUUACCUGUGUACCAUAAAUAGAUGCUAUAGUAUUAUUUUGGUUUUUUUUUGUCCUUUGGUAUGCGUUUUCUUAUUACCCUUGUUUUUUCUUUCUUUCAACAAGUGGAUGUAACUUUUAGGUUUUUUGCUCCCGUGAAAUUUGUACAUAGCAUGACACCUAAAUGAAAGGGAAAAAAAGAAAAGGAGGAACUUUACAUAUA
Non-coding RNA from Oryza sativa Japonica Group (Japanese rice), 2416 nucleotides. NCBI's taxonomy places the organism in Eukaryota, Viridiplantae, Streptophyta, Magnoliopsida, Poales, Poaceae. The record is from RefSeq and is a predicted model, not a curated record.